RNAcentral lists this unclassified non-coding RNA (233 nucleotides) under uncultured Lyophyllum. RNAcentral describes it as "sequence contains ITS1". The record is from RNAcentral. Lineage: Eukaryota; Fungi; Basidiomycota; Agaricomycetes; Agaricales; Lyophyllaceae.
UUGAAUAAACUUGGUUGGGCUGUUGCUGGCUCCUUGGAGUAUGUGCACGCCUAGCGCCAUUUUUACCACCUGUGCACCUUUUGUAGACCCGGAUAUCUCUCGAGGAAAACUCGGUUUGAGGACUGCUGUGCGAAAGCCAGCUUUCCUUGCAUUUCCGGGUCUAUGUUUUUAUAUACCCCAUAAGAAUGUAACAGAAUGUUGCUUUACUGGCCUUUUGUGCCUUUAAUCAAAUA